RNAcentral lists this ribosomal RNA (253 nucleotides) under uncultured bacterium. RNAcentral's name for it is "partial 16S ribosomal RNA". It matches the Rfam family "Bacterial small subunit ribosomal RNA", at positions 524 to 776 of the family's 1533-position model. The record is from RNAcentral.
UACAGAGGUCUCAAGCGUUGUUCGGAUUCAUUGGGCGUAAAGGGCGCGUAGGCUGCGGGGCAAGUCGGGUGUGAAAUCUCGGAGCUUAACUCCGAAACUGCAUUCGAUACUGCCGUGCUUGAGGACUGGAGAGGAGACUGGAAUUUACGGUGUAGCGGUGAAAUGCGUAGAUAUCGUAAGGAAGACCAGUGGCGCACGCGGGUCUCUGGACAGUUCCUGACGCUGAGGCACGAAGGCCGGGGGAGCAAACGGG